AUACUUACCUGGCGUCGGGGUUACCGUGAUCACUAAGGCGGUUCCCCCAGGGUGAGGCCUUCCCAUUGCACUACGGCUUGGCUGACCUCUGCGAAUAUCCCAAAUGCGGAUAUCUCGGGCGCGUAAUUUUUGGUACGGGGACCGCGGUAGCCGAGU
RNAcentral lists this small nuclear RNA (156 nucleotides) under Cimex lectularius (bed bug). RNAcentral's name for it is "U1 spliceosomal RNA". It matches the Rfam family "U1 spliceosomal RNA". Rfam says of the family: U1 is a small nuclear RNA (snRNA) component of the spliceosome (involved in pre-mRNA splicing). Its 5' end forms complementary base pairs with the 5' splice junction, thus defining the 5' donor site of an intron. Lineage: Eukaryota; Metazoa; Arthropoda; Insecta; Hemiptera; Cimicidae. The record is from Rfam by way of RNAcentral.